GGGGAUUUAUCUCAGGGGCUAAAGUGCCUGCCUGGCAAGCACGAGGUCAUGAGUUCGAUCCCCGGUAUCCCCU
This 73-nucleotide transfer RNA is filed under the name Cavia porcellus (domestic guinea pig). It matches the Rfam family "tRNA". From Rfam's summary of the family: Transfer RNA (tRNA) molecules are approximately 80 nucleotides in length. The record is from Rfam by way of RNAcentral. Lineage: Eukaryota; Metazoa; Chordata; Mammalia; Rodentia; Caviidae.